RNAcentral lists this non-coding RNA (26 nucleotides) under Rattus norvegicus (Norway rat). Lineage: Eukaryota; Metazoa; Chordata; Mammalia; Rodentia; Muridae. The record is from RNAcentral.
UGAAACAACCUCUGGUUAUUCUUUGG